GAUUAUCUUGGAAAAGUUACAGGAGAACGUCAAGUGUAUGGUUUCCUUUUGUUUGCUUCUUAAUAGCCCAAAGUACUUUGUCAAGUUAAAGCUGGGGCAGUGUCUUUUGGUAAAAUGAAGUCACUUCAGAUACUUAUAUGCUUUGCUAUUGGCGAAUCAGUAGUCAAAGGUAUCAUUGUCCUGCGAGUUUAUGCACUUUGAGUAGUAC
This 208-nucleotide long non-coding RNA is filed under the name Homo sapiens (human). RNAcentral's name for it is "non-protein coding lnc-UBE2D2-1:1". Lineage: Eukaryota; Metazoa; Chordata; Mammalia; Primates; Hominidae. The record is from RNAcentral.